RNAcentral lists this small RNA (77 nucleotides) under Yersinia bercovieri. RNAcentral's name for it is "MicA sRNA". It matches the Rfam family "MicA sRNA". The record is from RNAcentral. RNAcentral also lists the same sequence under 3 other names. Lineage: Bacteria; Pseudomonadati; Pseudomonadota; Gammaproteobacteria; Enterobacterales; Yersiniaceae.
GAAAGACGCGCAUUUGUUAUCAUCAUCCCUGUUUUACCAGAGAUGUUAAUUUGGCCACAGAAGUUAUGUGGCCUUUU